This 70-nucleotide transfer RNA is filed under the name Cryobacterium sp. TMT4-31. RNAcentral's name for it is "tRNA-Ser". Lineage: Bacteria; Bacillati; Actinomycetota; Actinomycetes; Micrococcales; Microbacteriaceae. The record is from RNAcentral.
GGCGCUCUCAAAGUGAUCAAUCUCGUUCGCAAUGAGAAGGUCAGGAGUUCGAAUCUCCUUAGCUCCACCA